This 396-nucleotide ribosomal RNA is filed under the name uncultured bacterium. RNAcentral describes it as "partial 16S ribosomal RNA". It matches the Rfam family "Bacterial small subunit ribosomal RNA", at positions 523 to 918 of the family's 1533-position model. The record is from RNAcentral.
AUACGAAGGGGGCAAGCGUUAAUCGGAAUUACUGGGCGUAAAGCGCGCGUAGGUGGUUUUGUAAGUUGGAGGUGAAAGCCCCGGGCUCAACCUGGGAAUUGCCUCCAAAACUGCAUGACUAGAGUACGGUAGAGGGUAGUGGAAUUUCCUGUGUAGCGGUGAAAUGCGUAGAGAUAGGAAGGAACACCAGUGGCGAAGGCGACUUCCUGGACUGAUUCUGACCCUGAGGUGGCAAAGCGUGGGGAGCAACAAGGAUUAGAUACCCUGGUAGUCCACGCCGUAAACGAUGUCAACUAGCCGUUGGGAUCCUUGAGAUCUUAGUGGCGCAGCUAACGCAUUAAGUUUACCGCCUGGGGAGUACGGCCGCAAGGUUAAAACUCAAAUGAAUUGACGGGG